Trichodelitschia bisporula is the source of this 94-nucleotide non-coding RNA. The record is from the annotation of a GenBank genome assembly. NCBI's taxonomy places the organism in Eukaryota, Fungi, Ascomycota, Dothideomycetes, Phaeotrichales, Phaeotrichaceae.
GCUGGGGUAGCUCAAUCGGAAGAGCGUGUGGCUUUUAGGACAACAUGUUGUCUUGGUAACCUCAAGGUCGCGGGUUCGAGCCCCGCCCUCAGCU